AAGGGGGAGGAAAAGGCAGGGAAAGGGUGAGGAAACUACAAGGAAAAGGGUGAGGAAACUACAAGGAAAAGGGUGAGGAAAUUGUAAGGAAAGAAGUGAGGAAAGGGCAGGAAAAGGGGGAGGAAAGGGCAGGAAAAGGGGGAGGAAAGAGGUGAGGAAAUUACAAGGAAAGAAGUGAGGAAAGGGCAAGGAAAAGGGUGAGGAAAGGGCAGGAAAAGGGUGAGGAAAGGGCAGGAAAAGGGUGAGGAAAGGGCAAGGAAAAGGGUGAGGAAAGGGUGAGGAAAAGGGUGAGGAAACUACAAGGAAAAGGGUGAGGAAAGGG
Molecule: non-coding RNA, 322 nt
Organism: Cyanistes caeruleus (blue tit)
Lineage: Eukaryota; Metazoa; Chordata; Aves; Passeriformes; Paridae
Source: RefSeq, a predicted model, not a curated record